Molecule: ribosomal RNA, 544 nt
Filed under: Bacillus sp. 13S2
Lineage: Bacteria; Bacillati; Bacillota; Bacilli; Caryophanales; Bacillaceae
Description: bacterial SSU rRNA
Rfam family: Bacterial small subunit ribosomal RNA
Source: RNAcentral
UUUUAGAGUUUUUUGUCAUGGCUCAGGAUGAACGCAGGCGGCGUGCCUAAUACAUGCAAGUCGAGCGAAUGGAUUAAGAGCUUGCUCUUAUGAAGUUAGCGGCGGACGGGUGAGUAACACGUGGGUAACCUGCCCAUAAGACUGGGAUAACUCCGGGAAACCGGGGCUAAUACCGGAUAACAUUAUGAACUGCAUGGUUCGAAAUUGAAAGGCGGCUUGGGCUGUCACUUAUGGAUGGACCCGCGUCGCAUUAGCUAGUUGGUGAGGUAACGGCUCACCAAGGCAACGAUGCGUAGCCGACCAGAGAGGGUGAUCGGCCACACUGGGACUGAGACACGGCCCAGACUCCUACGGGAGGCAGCAGUAGGGAAUCUUCCGCAUACUGGACGACAAUGUCAUGAACGGAUGCAAGCGGCCAGCCGUGACGUGAUCGAAGAGCUUAUCGGGGUGCGUAAAACGUUCUGUUGUUAGGGAAGAACAAGUGCUAGUGAAUAAGCUGGCACCUGAGCGGACUAACCGAAGACCGAAUGCGACGCCCGAUCGG